Molecule: ribosomal RNA, 484 nt
Filed under: uncultured bacterium
Lineage: Bacteria
Description: partial 16S ribosomal RNA
Rfam family: Bacterial small subunit ribosomal RNA
Source: RNAcentral
AUUGAACGCUGGCGGCAGGCCUAACACAUGCAAGUCGAGCGGAUGAAGGGAGCUUGCUCCUGGAUUCAGCGGCGGACGGGUGAGUAAUGCCUAGGAAUCUGCCUGGUAGUGGGGGAUAACGUCCGGAAACGGGCGCUAAUACCGCAUACGUCCUGAGGGAGAAAGUGGGGGAUCUUCGGACCUCACGCUAUCAGAUGAGCCUAGGUCGGAUUAGCUAGUUGGUGGGGUAAAGGCCUACCAAGGCGACGAUCCGUAACUGGUCUGAGAGGAUGAUCAGUCACACUGGAACUGAGACACGGUCCAGACUCCUACGGGAGGCAGCAGUAGGGAAUAUUGGACAAAGGGCGAAAGCCUGAUCCAGCCAUGCCGCGUGAGUGAAGAAGGUCUUCGGAUUGUAAAGCACUUUAAGUUGGGAGGAAGGGCAGUAAGUUAAUACCUUGCUGUUUUGACGGUACCAACAGAAUAAGCACCGGCUAACUUCGUG